GACGAACGCUGGCGGCGUGCCUAAUACAUGCAAGUAGAACGCUGAAGGAGGAGCUUGCUUCUCCGGAUGAGUUGCGAACGGGUGAGUAACGCGUAGGUAACCUGCCUGGUAGCGGGGGAUAACUAUUGGAAACGAUAGCUAAUACCGCAUAACAGUAGAUGUUGCAUGACAUUUGCUUAAAAGGUGCAAUUGCAUCACUACCAGAUGGACCUGCGUUGUAUUAGCUAGUUGGUGAGGUAACGGCUCACCAAGGCGACGAAACAUAGCCGACCUGAGAGGGUGAUCGGCCACACUGGGACUGAGACACGGCCCAGACUCCUACGGGAGGCAGCAGUAGGGAAUCUUCGGCAAUGGACGGAAGUCUGACCGAGCAACGCCGCGUGAGUGAAGAAGGUUUUCGGAUCGUAAGGCUCUGUUGUAAGAGAAGAACGAGUGUGAGAGUGGAAAGUUCACACUGUGACGGUAUCUUACCAGAAAGGGACGGCUAACUACGUG
Molecule: ribosomal RNA, 495 nt
Filed under: uncultured bacterium
Lineage: Bacteria
Description: partial 16S ribosomal RNA
Rfam family: Bacterial small subunit ribosomal RNA
Source: RNAcentral